GCCUGGGUGGUGUAAAGGGUUAACACACUUGGGUGCUAGCCAAAAUAUUGGAGGUUCAAAUCCACCCAGUGGUA
This 74-nucleotide transfer RNA is filed under the name Loxodonta africana (African savanna elephant). It matches the Rfam family "tRNA". Rfam says of the family: Transfer RNA (tRNA) molecules are approximately 80 nucleotides in length. The record is from Rfam by way of RNAcentral. Lineage: Eukaryota; Metazoa; Chordata; Mammalia; Proboscidea; Elephantidae.